AGUUUGAUCAUGGCUCAGAGUGAACGCUGGCGGCAGGCCUAAUACAUGCAAGUCGAACGGCAGCACAGCAGAGCUUGCUCUGUGGGUGGCGAGUGGUGGACGGGUGAGGAAUACAUGGGAAUCUGCCCAGUCGUGGGGGAUAACGUAGGGAAACUUACGCUAAUACCGCAUGCGCCCUUCGGGGGAAAGCCGGGGACCUUCGGGCCUGGCGCGAUUGGAUGAGCCCAUGUCGGAUUAGCUAGUUGGCGGGGUAAUGGCCCACCAAGGCGACGAUCCGUAGCUGGUCUGAGAGGAUGAUCAGCCACACUGGAACUGAGACACGGUCCAGACUCCUACGGGAGGCAGCAGUAGGGAAUAUUGGACAAUGGGCGCAAGCCUGAUCCAGCCAUGCCGCGUGAGUGAAGAAGGCCCUCGGGUUGUAAAGCUCUUUUGUCCGGAAAGAAAAGCGCCGGGUUAAUACCCUAGUGUCCUGACGGUACCGGAAGAAUAAGCACCGGCUAACUUCGUG
RNAcentral lists this ribosomal RNA (508 nucleotides) under uncultured bacterium. Its description in RNAcentral is "bacterial SSU rRNA". It matches the Rfam family "Bacterial small subunit ribosomal RNA", at positions 10 to 507 of the family's 1533-position model. The record is from RNAcentral.